Molecule: small nuclear RNA, 218 nt
Filed under: Marmota monax (woodchuck)
Lineage: Eukaryota; Metazoa; Chordata; Mammalia; Rodentia; Sciuridae
Rfam family: U2 spliceosomal RNA
About the family: U2 is a small nuclear RNA (snRNA) component of the spliceosome (involved in pre-mRNA splicing). Complementary binding between U2 snRNA (in an area lying towards the 5' end but 3' to hairpin I) and the branchpoint sequence (BPS) of the intron results the bulging out of an unpaired adenosine, on the BPS, which initiates a nucleophilic attack at the intronic 5' splice site, thus starting the first of two transesterification reactions that mediate splicing.
Source: RNAcentral
AUCGCUUUUCGGCCUUUUGGCUAAGAUCAAGUGUAGUAUCAUAGAAGACCUCAUAGCCAUCUUAAUUUUUGUAAACUCACCCUAAUGCUCACAUAGCAGUGAAAUCCCAUAAGAGCUUAUUUAUUAGAACUUAUUUAUAUUAUUACAUAUCUGUUGUGCAUGGACAGAUAUGUAAGAUUUAGAUAGAUCUCACUAUCAUAUCCUCUAAUCACAUGGCA